Quercus robur (English oak) is the source of this 2657-nucleotide long non-coding RNA. RefSeq lists it as uncharacterized. Lineage: Eukaryota; Viridiplantae; Streptophyta; Magnoliopsida; Fagales; Fagaceae. The record is from RefSeq and is a predicted model, not a curated record. The transcript has 2 exons.
UGCUGGUAAAGCAGAUUCCAAUUGUAUCAGACAUGGCAGGUUUGUAACAUAUUUUUACAAAAUGGUUGUUGCACAUUUUCAAGAAUCACACACACACAAUCUAUAACUUUAUCCUGCUCAAUAGAUGAAAUUUAACUCUUUUUGCUCUGAAGUGUGUGGUUAAAUUAGGUUGAAUAACAUCUUACAAGGAAAUUCAGCUACAAGCAGGGACAUGUAAUUGAGGCAGAAACCUGAGAUGAGUCUUCUUCUAUAUGCUUCACUCAUUUUUUGGACAGUUGAAUCUAGAUAUGCCUAAGGCUUAUUGUUGUUUAUAUAUUGGCCUAAAUUUUAGAUGUGAUUCAUUUUGCAGAAAUAAAAUAUAAUCUGAGAACUGCACUGGUUUAAUUUUAGUAUGGUUCACCACAUUUUUAGUUAUCUGCCUGCUCUCCCAUCUUAAAUUAGCCGUCUCAUGAUUCUAUAAUUUCCCUAGGAAUUAAAGAAAACAAAUCAAAGUAACUGAUUAAAGUGAUUCUUAAAAAAAUCUUUGUAUCACCCUGUGUAUUGCAUGUAGAUGCUGUUUAAUGCAAUUUGUAAUGAAAGGUUCAAUUCCAUGAUCAAUAAAAAGAAAUUCAGACAAUUUUUGCAUCAAUGAGAAAGUUUCCACUCUGGUGCUAUACCAACACUCUUAAAAAUUCUAGCAUUGUGUAUAUCUUGCACAUGCUUUUAGUGUGGGAUGGUGGUUAUUCUUACAAUCAUGCGCCAAUUAGAGUAAAGCUAGAUAUCUGUGUCACUGUUUUGUUCUCUACAAAAAUAUGGGGAAUAGGGUUGUUAAAAAUGUACUUUGAAAGUUUGUAAUCUAAUUGUGUAAAGGUUGAGCUUGAGUUAGGUGGGUGGAUGCACCGCAGUUUAGAGUGCAUGCAUGAAAAGUAGCUCAACGUAAUCAAGAAAAAUUUCAUCAUUGGUAAACGAAGGAAAUGUCUUAAAGCCAGAUUGUUUUCUGUUAGAAAUCUGCUGCUGAUAUCUGGUUGGUCUAAUUUUAUGACACUAUCUAAAGAAUUCAAACUUUCUAUAAUGAAGGAUUGAUUACAGGAAAAUACAUAGAUACGAAAAUGCAUCUUAUGGACAAGUCAAGAUCUGAAAAUACAUAGUUAUGAAAAUGCAUCUUAUGGACAAGUCAAGAUCUGUCCUAUAGGAGAAUACAUAGUUAUGAUUGUCACACCUUUCCUAAUGGAACAGCUUCCACUAGUGUGUUAAUCUAUUUCCUGUCAAGAGUUUGACCCAUUCAUAUUUGUACAUGUGAGACAGCCAAAUUAUGAAAAUCCUUGGUGGAGAUCCAUUUUGGGAUGCAAGGAUUGAUUACAGGCUGUCUUCGCCAAGUAUAGAGUCUACAGAGCUAAUUCUCCCAGAGAUAACUGUUGUGAAGUUCCAUUUGUAUGAGUGCUUGGGAACAUAUAUGAGAAAAUUGGAGAAAUUUUCUGCCGCCCACAGGACUAGAUUCAUGUAGCUGAUCCAAAAAUAUCCAGGAUGUGGGUAGGAUGAUUAUAGUGGCAAUGAUGUGGAAGGAACAUUUUUUGGAUAUGCUUCAAAUUGUCAUGCAGUAACAAUGACGACUGCAAUAAAGAAGAUAUUUUAUGGCCAAGUACGUCAUUUAUGCUGGCAUUCAGCUGGAGAGCUUGGUACUAUUCUUACGCAUUAUUCCUUAUCUAUUACUGUAGAAACAUCCCGACAAUAUCUACAUUGGUUCCACUGGAGCUUGUAUGAUUGAAGUGGAUUGUUUAUAAUGAUUUGCACCAUGAAUAGCAAUGAAAUAUCAAGGUUUCAUUUUGUCAUUCACCUGACCUAAGGGAUCUGACUUUCACUGGCCCUUUGUUCCUUGUGGUUAGCAAAGUCACUGUUCUAGUUCAGAGAACCCAAAUCUGAGAGGCAUUUCUUCUAGAUGGAGUCAAUACCCUUAGAAGUAAGGAUUGUUCUCUACCAUAGCCAUCCUAGGAUUAUUCAAUACAAUGUGAUAGCAGGGGGGUAAGAAAACUUUGUUUAAUGGAAUUAAGUAUAAUCUAGGUCCUAUGGAUCUAACCAUCUGAUCUGAUACCCUCAGGUCAGCUGCCUUAAGGAUGGGCUUUGUCUGUCAUCUCAUUCUUGGAUUGCUCAAAAAUCAUUCUUGUUUUUUGUCUGUUUGAAUUGAGGAUUUGGGCCGUGCAGAUUUGGAUUUGAGGGUCUAAAUCUAAUUACUUUGUUUGGAUAGUUUGAUAGGGUUAGUACUUGGAUUUAGGCCAAAUACAUCAGGGAUUCUGAAACCGAUAGGGUUAGUACUUGGAUUUAGGCCGAAUACAUCAGGGAUUCUGAAACCCAAAAUCCUCAAAUUUGACAUAACAUCCAGCCCUUGAGAAUUUUUGAAAUCCUUAACCACAUUUUAAAAUGACCAAAACAUCCCCAAAACCAAAGAUGACCAAGAUAUCCCCGAAUGUAAAAAAUAACUAGAAUAUCCCCAAAACUUAGGAAAUGGCCGAAAGGCCCAGAAACUUUAAAUGACAAAUACCCUUAAAUCUCUAAAAUAAUCAAAAUACCUAUUAAAACUUCCAAAACGACCCAAAAAGUCUUGAAAGCUCCAAAGUGAUUGAAAUACUCUGAAUACUCAAUACCUUCAAAAGAGUAAAAUACUCCCAAACGUCCAAAAUGAU